This 253-nucleotide ribosomal RNA is filed under the name uncultured bacterium. Its description in RNAcentral is "partial 16S ribosomal RNA". It matches the Rfam family "Bacterial small subunit ribosomal RNA", at positions 524 to 776 of the family's 1533-position model. The record is from RNAcentral.
UACGUAGGUGGCGAGCGUUGUUCGGAAUUACUGGGCGUAAAGCGCGCGCAGGCGGCUUAGCAAGUCAGGGGUGAAAGCCCGGGGCUCAACCUCGGAACUGCCUUUGAGACUGCUAGGCUCGAGACCGAGAGAGGAGAGUGGAAUUCCCAGUGUAGAGGUGAAAUUCGUAGAUAUUGGGAAGAACACCAGUGGCGAAGGCGGCUCUCUGGCUCGGUACUGACGCUGAGGCGCGAAAGCGUGGGGAGCAAACAGG